This 480-nucleotide long non-coding RNA is filed under the name Drosophila guanche. The record is from RNAcentral. Lineage: Eukaryota; Metazoa; Arthropoda; Insecta; Diptera; Drosophilidae.
GAAUUUUUAGGAAAACAUGGAACGAAAUGAAUGAAUCUGUGCUCGUCCCAAGCGAGACACUUAAAAUUGCUUUUGCGGGUACCGAAAUUCCAUCCUUUCAAAUUUAUGACAUUUGCUCGCUAAAGGAAGUGCUAUAACUGUGGUCGCUUGGGUCAUACAGCCUCGCGUUGUAAGUCACAAAAGCGAUGCAAGAAAUGUGGCAAUAACACGUGCAACGAAAAUUGCAAUACCAACAAGGUAUUGUGAUGUACACAAUGCGUUUGAGAGAAACAAGUGUCAGGUGUGGGCGACAUAAAUAAAAUCAUGACCAUUAAGAAACUGGAAAGAAAGGAAGCUCUAAAGCAAUUUUCCUUUCAACAAAACUAUGAUCAGAUUCGAGACUAUGACAAAAACUUUCCUCAAAUGAUAAAUAAAAACGAGAAGGGACGUGUGAGACGCUUCUUACGCGUCACAACUUUUAUACCCGGCACUCAGUACUAC